UGCCUUUUAAAUGAAGGCCUGUAUGAAUGGCACGACGAGGGCUUAACUGUCUCCUCUCCCUAGUCAAUGAAAUUGAUCCCCCCGUGCAGAAGCGGGGAUAAUAACAUAAGACGAGAAGACCCUGUGGAGCUUUAGACUAUGAGCAGACCAUGUCAAGAAUAACAAACAAGUAAAUUAAACAAAUUGGCCCCUGCUUCCCUGUCUUUGGUUGGGGCGACCGCGGGAUAAUAAAAAACUCCCACGAGGAUUGAGAACCCUUAUCUUAUAACCAAGAGCUUCUCCUCUAAGUAACAGAACAUCUGACCUUAAUGAUCCGGCCUGGCCGAUCAACGGACCGAGUUACCCCAGGGAUAACAGCGCAAUCCUCUUUUAGAGUCCAUAUCGACAAGAGGGUUUACGACCUCGAUGUUGGAUCAGGACAUCCUAAUGGUGCAGCCGCUAUUAAGGGUUUGUUUGUUCAACAAUUAAAGU
RNAcentral lists this ribosomal RNA (471 nucleotides) under Oryzias curvinotus. Its description in RNAcentral is "partial 16S ribosomal RNA". It matches the Rfam family "Bacterial large subunit ribosomal RNA", at positions 1970 to 2594 of the family's 2925-position model. Lineage: Eukaryota; Metazoa; Chordata; Actinopteri; Beloniformes; Adrianichthyidae. The record is from RNAcentral.